This 253-nucleotide ribosomal RNA is filed under the name uncultured bacterium. Its description in RNAcentral is "partial 16S ribosomal RNA". It matches the Rfam family "Bacterial small subunit ribosomal RNA", at positions 524 to 776 of the family's 1533-position model. The record is from RNAcentral.
UACGAAGGGGGCUAGCGUUGUUCGGAAUUACUGGGCGUAAAGCGCGCGUAGGUGGUUUGUUAAGUUGGAUGUGAAAUCCCCGGGCUCAACCUGGGAACUGCAUCCAAAACUGGCAAGCUAGAGUAUGGUAGAGGGUGGUGGGAUUUCCUGUGUAGCGGUGAAAUGCGUAGAUAUAGGAAGGAACACCAGUGGCGAAGGCGACCACCUGGACUGAUACUGACACUGAGGUGCGAAAGCGUGGGGAGCAAACAGG